This 440-nucleotide ribosomal RNA is filed under the name uncultured bacterium. Its description in RNAcentral is "partial 16S ribosomal RNA". It matches the Rfam family "Bacterial small subunit ribosomal RNA", at positions 338 to 795 of the family's 1533-position model. The record is from RNAcentral.
CCUACGGGAGGCAGCAGUGGGGAAUAUUGCACAAUGGGGGAAACCCUGAUGCAGCGACGCCGCGUGAGUGAAGAAGUAUUUCGGUAUGUAAAGCUCUAUCAGCAGGGAAGAAAAUGACGGUACCUGAUUAAGAAGCCCCGGCUAACUACGUGCCAGCAGCCGCGGUAAUACGGAGGGGGCAAGCGUUAUCCGGAUUUACUGGGUGUAAAGGGAGCGUAGACGGCAGCACAAGUCUGGAGUGAAAUGCCGGGGCUUAACCCCGGAACUGCUUUGGAAACUGUGCAGCUGGAGUGCAGGAGAGGUAGGUGGAAUUCCUAGUGUAGCGGUAAAAUGCGUAGAUAUUAGGAAGAACACCAGUGGCGAAGGCGGCUUACUGGACUGUAGCUGACGUUGAGGCUCGAAAGCGUGGGGAGCAAACAGGAUUAGAUACCCGGGUAGUC